Molecule: ribosomal RNA, 254 nt
Filed under: uncultured bacterium
Lineage: Bacteria
Description: partial 16S ribosomal RNA
Rfam family: Bacterial small subunit ribosomal RNA
Source: RNAcentral
UACAGAGGGGGCAAGCGUUGUUCGGAAUUACUGGGCGUAAAGGGCGCGUAGGCGGCCUUCUAAGUCGAACGUGAAAUCCCCGGGCUCAAUCCGGGAACUGCGUCCGAUACUGGAGGGCUUGAAUCCGGGAGAGGGAUGUGGAAUUCCAGGUGUAGCGGUGAAAUGCGUAGAUAUCUGGAGGAACACCGGUGGCGAAGGCGACAUCCUGGACCGGUAUUGACGCUGAGGCGCGAAAGCCAGGGGAGCAAAGCGGG